This 514-nucleotide ribosomal RNA is filed under the name Salmonella enterica. RNAcentral's name for it is "bacterial SSU rRNA". It matches the Rfam family "Bacterial small subunit ribosomal RNA", at positions 587 to 1099 of the family's 1533-position model. The record is from RNAcentral. Lineage: Bacteria; Pseudomonadati; Pseudomonadota; Gammaproteobacteria; Enterobacterales; Enterobacteriaceae.
GUCUGCCGUGAAAAUUCGAGGCUCAACCUCGAACUUGCGGUGGGUACGGGCAGACUAGAGUGUGGUAGGGGAGACUGGAAUUCCUGGUGUAGCGGUGAAAUGCGCAGAUAUCAGGAGGAACACCGAUGGCGAAGGCAGGUCUCUGGGCCACUACUGACGCUGAGAAGCGAAAGCAUGGGGAGCGAACAGGAUUAGAUACCCUGGUAGUCCAUGCCGUAAACGUUGGGAACUAGGUGUGGGUCUCAUUCCACGAGAUCCGUGCCGCAGCUAACGCAUUAAGUUCCCCGCCUGGGGAGUACGGCCGCAAGGCUAAAACUCAAAGGAAUUGACGGGGGCCCGCACAAGCGGCGGAGCAUGCGGAUUAAUUCGAUGCAACGCGAAGAACCUUACCAAGGCUUGACAUAUGCGAGAACGCGGCAGAGAUGUCGUUCUCUUUGGACACUCGCAUACAGGUGGUGCAUGGUUGUCGUCAGCUCGUGUCGUGAGAUGUUGGGUUAAGUCCCGCAACGAGCGC